Molecule: ribosomal RNA, 253 nt
Filed under: uncultured bacterium
Lineage: Bacteria
Description: partial 16S ribosomal RNA
Rfam family: Bacterial small subunit ribosomal RNA
Source: RNAcentral
CACGUAGGGUGCAAGCGUUGUUCGGAUUCACUGGGCGUAGAGCGCACGCAGGUGGCUGUGUAAGUCGGGUGUGAAAUCCCCUAGCUUAACUAGGGAACUGCAUUCGAUACUGCAUGGCUCGAGUUCGGGAGAGGGAAGCGGAAUUCCUAGUGUAGAAGUGAAAUUCGUAGAUAUUAGGAGGAACACCGGUGGCGAAGGCGGCUUCCUGGCCCGAUACUGACACUCAGGUGCGAAAGCGUGGGGAGCAAACAGG